This is a long non-coding RNA of Brassica rapa (field mustard), 2264 nucleotides long. RefSeq lists it as uncharacterized. Lineage: Eukaryota; Viridiplantae; Streptophyta; Magnoliopsida; Brassicales; Brassicaceae. The record is from RefSeq and is a predicted model, not a curated record.
AUAAACCCUCAACUUAUAAACCGUUAACAUAUGUCACCCUCCGUCACGGUUUUUUAGACGGAGGGUAACAUAUGUUAACGGAACUAAAGUUGAGGGUUUAUUUCACAAGAUUUUUAGUUGAGGGUUUUUUUUACGAUUCAUCUUUAGUUGAAGGGUUUAAUUACUAAAAACCCUUAUAAAUAUGAUAUUCUUAUACAUGGAAAACAUGUUCUUCUUAAAAGAUGAGCGAAGCGUAUGCAAUGCAUACAAUGUGUCUGCCGUGUCCCUUAAUCCGUCUAUUCAAGAGGUAGAAGCUUUUGCCAAAUUGUUACCAAAGGAAAAUAUAUCUUUGGCAACUGUGCAGUCUAAACCACUUUCGAUGGUGUCAAUGAUGUCAGAAGUUAACGGAAAAUACCGUAUAUAUCACAUGAGUGUUCUAGAGUGAGCCCAACCGAAAGCCCAUAUAAGUAUUUCUAUUAUCUCUACUUCCCUUCCGAUCGAGAAGGAAGAUUGCAGAGCUCAAUUUCAAAUGGGGUCGAUUCUGGGAGAUUUUCCGUCCUUCGAUCCUCACAAUUUCAGUCAACAUCGUCCCUCUGACCCUUCUAAUCCCUCUGUAAAUCCUUCCCUGAUUUUGGCUUUUAAUCAUUUUGAAUUUGUCUAAAAUCGGAUAUGAGAAUAAUAUGAAUUGAGACUUGGUUUGUUCAUUGAGAUAUUGGAAGAAUGUUAUUGGGAGGAGGGGGCGAUGAAAAUUGAUAGACAUAUAUAUAUUAUUGAGCUACACCUAUGUUAUACAUAAUCAUAAUAUAUACAAUCAACAUAUUUUUAGAUAUCUAAUCCCGCACAAAGUGCGGGUUACUACCUGAUUUCAAGAUUAAUUUACAAGUCAUUUUACUUCUGGUUUUUCUUGUAAACUGCCAUCAAUGCCAAGGCAUAUAAGUUAGAUUAGAUUUAUAUGGAAAGAACAGAAAGGGAAGGUAUGAGAAAUUAAGUAUCUAAGUAAUGGUGCGGUGUACGAAUGGUCCAAUGUAGCACAUGGCAAUUUGCAUCUUGUACAUACGAAUGCAUAUCUCUGCAUGUGUGUAAAUAAUAUUGUCUUCAAUUAUUUGAUCGUGGUUUGGUAUGCCUAGACCCUAGAUGAUCGUGUUAGUUAUAGCCUAUCUUUGCAAACUUGUACGAUUCAUAUCACAAGAAAAAAGAAACAGAUCUCUGUAAUCAAUUCGUAUAACUUUUGGCCGACUAAACCGGUCUCUACACCGCACUUUGUGCCUUUGGGAUCUUUUAUUUUGCCCAAUAUAUACCAUUACCUCAUAAGUAUGAGAGCAGUUUAUGUUUUUUUUAAUCCAUUUCAGCUAGGAGAUGCUUAUUCUGCAAUAAUUAAAGUCAAACGAUUUCAGGCAAGAUCAGAUCUUUUGGCUCUCGCAUAGUGAACUACUGUAAUCUGUAUUUGACACAGUUUUCGUUAGAUAUUUAUUUUUAACACAGCUAUGUAAACACAUGGUGUGGAUAGGUCUUAGAAGUAGAUGGAUCGUGUCCACUUGUUUCACGAACUUCCCUAUCCAAUUUACCCCACAAGGAUUUAGCGAAUCUGCCCCCUUCCAUCUAUCUUCUAUUCACGUUUCGAAAGCAAACAAAAUGAAAUCAAAAUGACGAAAGUGUCCAUACAUAUUCCCGCCGAAAUGUUGGAAGAAGAAAAUAAUAAAUCGUGAUUGGAUGACAUGGAGCAAUCCAACAUAUCAUGACUUGUAUUUUGUGGAGUUAUCUGUGUGUGUUUUCCGAAAUGAAUUACAUUAAAAUAUGUAAUUCAAACAUUUCUAUAUAUAUAUAUAUAUAUAUAUAUAUUUUUUUUUUUUUAAAUUAGCUAAAGCUUUACGACGACAAUAAAGUUUAUGUUAUAUCUCGUUGAUUCUUCGUUGUUACAAUGACAUUUUGCUCAUUAUUUCCCAUGUUUGUAACUGGAUUGGCUAGUCAAUAAUAUAUUGACUGUUUUCUAAGAAUAGCUAAUAAGGAUAAGUUUAAAAAAAAACAAGAAAUCAAGAAGAAAAUAUAACGUAGAAGCAUGCAUAAUUCACAUUCGUCUAAAAAGCCUUCAAGGAAAAUUACAACUCCAACAACAAACCCAAAUACAAACAUACAUCAACGGACAAGGAUUCAUCUAAAAAGAAGAUCCAACGGCCACAUAGAAAUUCAAUUACGAUGCGAAAUAAAAACAAAUCAUAUUACAACAGUAAUUUUCAGCGUCUUCAGUAAUCAGUGGUGGGCAAUUGCUCGUGACCGUUUUCGAUGAU